Molecule: ribosomal RNA, 248 nt
Filed under: uncultured bacterium
Lineage: Bacteria
Description: partial 16S ribosomal RNA
Rfam family: Bacterial small subunit ribosomal RNA
Source: RNAcentral
AUCGCGAGGUGAAGCAAAUCCCAAAAAAAGUAGUCUCAGUUCAGAUUGUAGGCUGCAACUCGCCUACAUGAAGUCGGAAUUGCUAGUAAUCGCGGAUCAGCAUGCCGCGGUGAAUACGUUCCCGGGCCUUGUACACACCGCCCGUCACACCAUGAGAGCCGGUAACACCCGAAGUCAGUAGCCUAACCGCAAGGGGGGCGCUGCCGAAGGUGGGAUUGGUAAUUGGGGUGAAGUCGUAACAAGGUAUC